GGGGGGGGCUGCAAUGGCCUUGUGUCAGCAGUGGAGACCACAGAGCAGGGCCUGGGACUCAGAGACUGGGCUCGGAGCCCAUAGCCUGGAGGCCCAAGACUACACCCACUGGCCUGGACCAGCCCAGCACAGCACAGCACAGCCUCGACCGGCCCAUCCCAGCUCCCCUCAGCCCCCUCCUCCCCGUGGCCUCCCUGCACCUCCACCAGCUGCGCUUUUCUGGCUCCAGCUGCUAGGGAGGGAAGUGAGAAUGAGAGGAAAAGGGUAGAGGGGAUAUCCAAUUUAAGAGGUAGGAAAGGCAGACAGUAAAGGGGAAUCAAGAGAGGGAGAGAUACGCUGGGGA
Molecule: long non-coding RNA, 343 nt
Organism: Gasterosteus aculeatus aculeatus (three-spined stickleback)
Lineage: Eukaryota; Metazoa; Chordata; Actinopteri; Perciformes; Gasterosteidae
Source: Ensembl